RNAcentral lists this microRNA precursor (65 nucleotides) under Caenorhabditis elegans. RNAcentral's name for it is "Cel-Mir-277_pre stem-loop". The record is from RNAcentral. Lineage: Eukaryota; Metazoa; Nematoda; Chromadorea; Rhabditida; Rhabditidae.
CCUGCAGUUUCGAUGAUUUUAUCCUUAAUUCUGAAGAUGUGAUAAAUGCAUCUUAACUGCGGUGA